AAUGAACGCUGGCGGCGUGCCUAAUACAUGCAAGUCGUGCGGCAGCAUGCCCUUCGGGGUGAUGGCGAGCGGCGGACGGCUGAGUAACGCGUAGGAAUCUACCCCAAAGUGAGGGAUAACCUCGAGAAAUCGAGGCUAAUACCGCAUGUGAUCUUCGGAUUAAAGGAUUUAUCCGCUUUGGGAAGAGCCUGCGUAAGAUUAGCUUGUUGGUGAGGUAAUGGCUCACCAAGGCGACGAUCUUUAGCUGGUCUGAGAGGAUGACCAGCCAGACUGGAACUGAGACACGGUCCAGACUCCUACGGGAGGCAGCAGUAAGGAAUCUUCCACAAUGGGCGAAAGCCUGAUGGAGCAACGCCGCGUGCAGGAUGAAGGCCUUCGGGUCGUAAACUGCUUUUAUAAGUGAGGAAUAUGACGGUAACUUAUGAAUAAGGAUCGGCUAACUCCGUGCCAGCAGCCGCAGUAA
RNAcentral lists this ribosomal RNA (463 nucleotides) under uncultured bacterium. Its description in RNAcentral is "partial 16S ribosomal RNA". It matches the Rfam family "Bacterial small subunit ribosomal RNA", at positions 29 to 523 of the family's 1533-position model. The record is from RNAcentral.